UUUCCUGUUCAAACAGCACUCCAACAUCUCCAGCACUGUUUCUUUUUUUUUAUAGCAAGACUGAUGAGAAGAGAAACAGAGAGACUGCAUUGCCUAAUGAAGAAAUCAGAAUUAAGUGUGGAAAUUUCCUUGGCCCUUCACAACUAGUGAGAAGUGCAGCAAUAAAAGCACUGUAGAAUAAGAGGAAGGAAGUGCCUUGAAAUGAAACAACACAAAAGUAACAAGAAGAAGAAGAAGAAGAAGAAGAAGAAGAAAGAAAGAAAGAAAUUAACCCUGACUCCUAGGGUCACGGGGGUCUGCUGGAGCCUAUCCCAGCGCACAUAGGGCGAAAGGCAGGGGUACACCCUGGACAGGUCGCCAGUCCAUCGCAGUUCACAACAUCAGCAACAAUAUUCAAAUUGGCUAGGUGCAAAUUUUCAUCUGUUCAGCCUCAGCUUUCUGUUCUUGCCUGACAAAAGAGGAACUUGCCAUGAUUGUAGCCCAUCUGCCUCAAGCAGCAGGAUCCUGCGCUCUCAUUGCCACGGCCUGGGUUGGAUUCCUGGGCAGGGCACUAACCCAGUCAUGGAAGAGUUAAGUCUCAGCGGCAGUCCCAAGCCCGGAUUAAAUAGGAGGGUUGCAUCAGGAAGUGCAUUCGGCGCAAAACCCGUGCCAAAUCGAAAUGUGUGGACCAAAUGAUCCUCUGUGGCGACCCCAAACAGGGAGCAGCCGAAAGAACAACAACAUUUUUAAACAUGUUUUUCAUAUAACAAAUAUUAAAAUGUUUACUAUAACUAUAUAUGCAUCAAGACAAACUUGCCAGAUCUACAAUUAUUGAUUGAUUAAAGGUUGAUGGUUACUGACAUGAUAGAUUUGCAAGUGACAAGUUAAAAUAAAAGAUCUUCUGUGUUAGUGGUAGUAUAAUAAUAAUAAUAAUAAUAAUAAUAAUAAUACUCCAUAUUCAACUAAUAAUAUCCAAUAAUCUAAUAAUAUCCAACAUUAUAUUUUGUUUCAAGAGGCCACAUGUCCCAAGAGACUGACAAAAUAUAUAGCCAAGGUCCAGGCACAGAUUCACAGGUAAACUUCAAAUUCUGCAGCCUUGUGUGUGGGGAUGGGUUUUGACACUAUUCAGGUCAAACUAGAGUCAAAGCAGGGAGAUAUUCAACACACCAAACAUCAGGAAGACUAGUAUGAACCAGGUUUGACUUGGAAAGUACUGUCUAAUCAUGUUACAUUAUUGAAAUCAUACAUUAUCAAGCUGCUGGUUUAGGGUUGGUCCACUGAGGAAGGUCACUGUGUAUGAUGAAAGGGCAUUGUGAGAAGUAGUGUUGUGUAAUCUUUCAUACGCCUGUAUUCUUUGACUUCUCAGUGUCACAUGAACGAUGUGGUUUUGGGGAAAUUCGAAUUGAAGGAGAACAAGACAUCUUUGCCCUGUAUUUUGAAAAAAAAGACAAGUUACUAUUUUGCAUACAUGUUCCUGGAAUUUUGGAGUAGUGUGAUUCAUGAAGUUUCUGAAUAAGGAAGUGAAUUCAGUG
Long non-coding RNA from Hemibagrus wyckioides, 1511 nucleotides. RefSeq lists it as uncharacterized. The transcript is spliced from 5 exons. NCBI's taxonomy places the organism in Eukaryota, Metazoa, Chordata, Actinopteri, Siluriformes, Bagridae. The record is from RefSeq and is a predicted model, not a curated record.